Molecule: ribosomal RNA, 497 nt
Filed under: uncultured bacterium
Lineage: Bacteria
Description: partial 16S ribosomal RNA
Rfam family: Bacterial small subunit ribosomal RNA
Source: RNAcentral
GAUGAACGCUGGCGGCGUGCCUAAUACAUGCAAGUCGAGCGAACAGAUAAGGAGCUUGCUCCUUUGACGUUAGCGGCGGACGGGUGAGUAACACGUGGGUAACCUACCUAUAAGACUGGGAUAACUUCGGGAAACCGGAGCUAAUACCGGAUAACAUUUUGAACCGCAUGGUUCUAAAGUGAAAGAUGGUUUUGCUAUCACUUAUAGAUGGACCCGCGCCGUAUUAGCUAGUUGGUAAGGUAACGGCUUACCAAGGCGACGAUACGUAGCCGACCUGAGAGGGUGAUCGGCCACACUGGAACUGAGACACGGUCCAGACUCCUACGGGAGGCAGCAGUAGGGAAUCUUCCGCAAUGGGCGAAAGCCUGACGGAGCAACGCCGCGUGAGUGAUGAAGGGUUUCGGCUCGUAAAACUCUGUUAUUAGGGAAGAACAAACGUGUAAGUAACUGUGCACGUCUUGACGGUACCUAAUCAGAAAGCCACGGCUAACUACGUG